Molecule: non-coding RNA, 30 nt
Filed under: Rattus norvegicus (Norway rat)
Lineage: Eukaryota; Metazoa; Chordata; Mammalia; Rodentia; Muridae
Source: RNAcentral
UACAAGAUGCAGACAGAAAAACCAAGCUGA